CGGCAAGAGCUCAAAUUUGAAAUCUGGCCUUCGGGUCCGAAUUGUAAUUUGGAGAGGAUGCUUCGAAUAUAGCCUGGGUUUAAGUUCCUUGGAACAGGAAGCCAAAGAGGGUGAGAGUCCCGUCUUGGACCGCGGUAGGGCUCGUGUAAAACUCCUUCGAC
RNAcentral lists this ribosomal RNA (161 nucleotides) under Chaetothyriales sp. RNAcentral describes it as "partial large subunit ribosomal RNA". Lineage: Eukaryota; Fungi; Ascomycota; Eurotiomycetes; Chaetothyriales. The record is from RNAcentral.